GGGGAUAUAGCUCAGUUGGUAGAGUGUUGCCUUGCAUGCAUAAGGCCCUGGGUUCAAACCUCAGCCCCA
This 69-nucleotide transfer RNA is filed under the name Marmota monax (woodchuck). It matches the Rfam family "tRNA". From Rfam's summary of the family: Transfer RNA (tRNA) molecules are approximately 80 nucleotides in length. Their secondary structure includes four short double-helical elements and three loops (D, anti-codon, and T loops). Lineage: Eukaryota; Metazoa; Chordata; Mammalia; Rodentia; Sciuridae. The record is from Rfam by way of RNAcentral.